AUGGUUAUGUCUGGACCAGACUUCCUAAGCUGGUUUGUGAAACCGAUUUUGGACAGCAUCAAACACCUUACUUAAGUCCAAGUACAUCACAUCCACUGCUUCCCAUGUCCGCUAGGCAAGUUUACCUGCUAGAGAAAGGUACUUACAGACAUCAUUUAAUAUGUUCCAGAAUCUUUCCAAGGAUUGAAGCUGGGACUGAAUUCUCCGGGUCCUCCUUUUCUCAUUCUUUGAGGAUAGGCACCAUGUUUGACCCCUUGGGACUGCUGCUGUUCCGAGAUGAUCACCAGUGGUUCAGAGAUGUCUUUGGCUCCUUGGACCACUCCAGGGGGAGUUUCAUUGGGCCUUGCUGAUCCAAACACAUCCAUCUAACUGUUCUCUAACCUGCUCUGUCUUCUAGCCUGCACUAGUGUCUCCUUGUUAAAGUUAAUUUAAUUAAUCAUUGGGUCACCAUUCACCUUUCUGGGGAAGGUUGAAGCCUUAAGCACUGCAGCCUCUUCUGUUGAAAUCCGUCAUUUGUCCUCUCCCACUGAGUAACAGGCCCAGACUUCCCUUCAUUGUCCCACUACUGCCUGUGGGAGUCUUUGCUAGCUGAAAUGUUCUGAUCUCAGGCUGCCUGCUUGUGUGGCUCUCUCCUACUCACUGGUAGGAUGGUGCCCUGCUUUCCUCAUGGUUUCUUUCCAAUUGCUGGGUCACCGAGGGGCUCCUGGAGGAGUUAUAAUGGUCCUUUUCUCUGCUUCUGAUGUGUCCUUUUCAUGGGGUUGUUUGCUCUCACAUACUUAAUACAGUCUCUCAAUUCCUGCCAAAG
Molecule: long non-coding RNA, 805 nt
Organism: Alligator sinensis (Chinese alligator)
Lineage: Eukaryota; Metazoa; Chordata; Crocodylia; Alligatoridae
Exons: 2
Source: RefSeq, a predicted model, not a curated record